GUAGGUGAACCUGCGGAAGGAUCAUUAUUGAAUAAACUUGGGUUAGGUUGUUGCUGGCUCUUAGGGGCAUGUGCACGCCGACUCCAUUUUUAACCACCUGUGCACCUUGCGUAGAUCUGAUAGUCUCGAGGAAACUCGGUUUGAGAAUUGCUGUGCAAACAGCUCUUCUUGUAAUCAGGUCUAUGUUUCUAUAUACCCCACAUGAAUGUAUUUUGAAUGUCGUAAUUGGCCUUUGUGCCUUUAAAAACAAAUACAACUUUCAACAACGGAUCUCUUGGCUCUC
This 283-nucleotide unclassified non-coding RNA is filed under the name rhizosphere metagenome. Its description in RNAcentral is "partial ribosomal RNA internal transcribed spacer region". The record is from RNAcentral.